Molecule: ribosomal RNA, 1500 nt
Filed under: metagenome
Description: bacterial SSU rRNA
Rfam family: Bacterial small subunit ribosomal RNA
Source: RNAcentral
AGAGUUUGAUCCUGGCUCAGAACGAACGCUGGCGGCGCGUUUUAAGCAUGCAAGUCGAACGGUAAUAGAGUGCUUGCACUCUAUGAGAGUGGCGAACGGGUGAGUAACACGUAGGUGAUCUAUCUCGAGGUCUGGGAUAGUCCGUGGAAACACGGGGUAAUACCGGAUGAGACCAAUAGAUUGAGGUUUAUUGGGGAAAGGCGCUUAGGCGGUGCCUUGAGCUGAGCCUGCGGCUCAUUAGUUAGUUGGUGGGGUAAUGGCCUACCAAGGCGACGAUGAGUAGCCGGCCUGAGAGGGUGAUCGGCCACACUGGGACUGAGACACGGCCCAGACUCCUACGGGAGGCAGCAGCUAAGAAUCUUCCGCAAUGGGGGAAACCCUGACGGAGCGACGCCGCGUGGACGAAGAAGGCCGGAAGGUUGUAAAGUCCUUUUCCUGGGGGAGAAUAAGGUAUGGAGGGAAUGCCAUACAGAUGACGUGAACCAGGGAAUAAGCCCCGGCUAAUUACGUGCCAGCAGCCGCGGUAACACGUAAGGGGCGAGCGUUGUUCGGAUUUAUUGGGCGUAAAGGGCGUGUAGGCGGUGAGGUAAGUCUGGUGUGGAAUUUCCCGGCUCAACCGGGAGCGCGCGCUGGAAACUGUCUUACUUGAGUGAUGGAGGGGGAGCUGGAAUUCCUGGUGUAGGGGUGAAAUCUGUAGAUAUCAGGAAGAACACCGGAGGCGAAGGCGAGCUCCUGGCCAUUUACUGACGCUGAGGCGCGAAAGCGUGGGAGCGAACAGGAUUAGAUACCCUGGUAGUCCACGCUGUAAACGAUGUGCACUGGGUGUUGGUCCUGAGAGGAUCAGUGCCGUAGCAAACGCGUUAAGUGCACCGCCUGGGGAGUAUGCUCGCAAGGGUGAAACUCAAAGGAAUUGACGGGGGCCCGCACAAGCGGUGGAGCAUGUGGUUUAAUUCGACGAUACGCGAGGAACCUUACCAGGGCUUGACAUAAACACGACGGUUGUAGAGAUACAGCUUCUCUUCGGAGCGUGUUUACAGGUGCUGCAUGGCUGUCGUCAGCUCGUGCUGUGAAGUGUUGGGUUAAGUCCCGCAACGAGCGCAACCCUUGCUGUCUGUUGCCACCAGGUAAUGCUGGGGACUCGGACGGUACUGCCGGUGACAAACCGGAGGAAGGUGGGGACGACGUCAAGUCAUCAUGGCCCUUAUGUCCUGGGCUACACACGUGCUACAAUGGCCGGUACAGAGCGAAGCAAAACCGCGAGGUUGAGCAAAUCGCAGAAAGCCGGUCCCAGUUCGGAUUGAAGUCUGAAACCCGACUUCAUGAAGUUGGAAUCGCUAGUAAUCGCGCAUCAGCAUGGCGCGGUGAAUAUGUUCCCGGGCCUUGUACACACCGCCCGUCACACCACCCGAGUUGGGGGUACCCGAAGUCGCUCGUCUAACCGGUAACGGAGGACGGUGCCGAAGGUAUGUCCGGUAAGGGGGGUGAAGUCGUAACAAGGUA